GGUCAGUUAGCUCAGUGGUAGAGCAUCGCCUUCACACGGCGGGGGUCACAGGUUCAAGCCCUGUACUGACCACCA
Molecule: transfer RNA, 75 nt
Filed under: Stagnimonas sp.
Lineage: Bacteria; Pseudomonadati; Pseudomonadota; Gammaproteobacteria; Nevskiales; Nevskiaceae
Description: tRNA-Val
Rfam family: tRNA
About the family: Transfer RNA (tRNA) molecules are approximately 80 nucleotides in length.
Source: RNAcentral